Non-coding RNA from Peromyscus maniculatus bairdii (prairie deer mouse), 991 nucleotides. The record is from RefSeq and is a predicted model, not a curated record. Lineage: Eukaryota; Metazoa; Chordata; Mammalia; Rodentia; Cricetidae.
AAGAGAUUUCAGGCAUCAGGAGGCUGCAGAGGGAACGGGACCACAAUCAGAAGCCAUGAGAGCCAUGGAGACAAGAGUCCACAUCUCUACCCUUCCUGCCCUGGUAGAGCGACCCCUGGGGAGGCCUCUUGUGCUGGAUUGACAGGAGGCCAAGCCCAGGAAGGAACUCUGCACCUCUCCCCGUCCCUCGACCUCCUGCCGCUGCUGUGACACUUUCUAAGUUGCUGCGAGCAAGAGAAGCACAUCAUCGGUGUAGGUGUGACUUUAUAGAAGGCUCUCUGGCUACAUCAUGAAAGACAGCAAGACAGCUUGGAUUCAGAAGAUGGCUGACUAUAUAUAGAAGCUGAGGUAGAUCCCAGAAGACAUGGGUUCCAAUCCAGCUGUGCCUUUCCCUAGCUCUGUGACCUUGGCAGAACUCUCAAAGCAGACGAUUCGCCUGCAGAGUGUUGACCUCCCCUGAUGUCGCUGUCACCGAGUGAGCUGUUUCAGGCCCCCUUCUGUUCUCUCUCAAAGUCACCCUCGGAUGCCAUUGAUGCCAUCAGCAUUCUUGGCCGGCUGCAGCUGGUCUAGACUGCACCGACAGACAGCAAUAUGGGUUUACCCAGAAGAUGCCUCAGCAGAACCGAGCUGACUGAAACAGCCCUCGGCUGCCUGUUCUCCAACCCUUGGCAGUCCCAGAGACCUGUAGCAGUACCCUCCAGAGAUCUGCAUCCCAUCUCAGUAGCCAGUUGGAGGCAGACUCUGGGCAAUUUUUAUCUCUCUAGCAACAGUGCUCUCUUAUGGCUAGUUUCUCAGUUUUUAUUCAUGUGUUUCAUUUAUUCGUUAAUCAAUACAGACUGGUGAGUACUUAUUUGCAUGGUAUUUGUUAUAUUAGGUAAAUCUGGAUAUAUUAAUAAUAUAUUAUGUGUGUGUGUAAGAAUAGUUAAGAGCAUGAGUCACCUCAGGGAAAUUCUUUAGUUUUUCUAUGCCUCAGUUUCCCCCAGUCUUAAAA